This 179-nucleotide small RNA is filed under the name Anser brachyrhynchus (Pink-footed goose). RNAcentral describes it as "TUC338 (ENSABRG00000004093.1)". Lineage: Eukaryota; Metazoa; Chordata; Aves; Anseriformes; Anatidae. The record is from RNAcentral.
UUAACAGCCCCCAAAGCCAAAGUCCGCUGUUUCAUCAACAAAGCAGGUUCGGUGAGGGCAUGUGACACAUAAGCAUCCCCCACACUGCUCAAUCAAUAUGCCUCAACCCUGACCUGAAAGAGUAUCUCUAAGGGGAAAGAUAUUUGUUAAAUUUCUUUUCCAAUUAAUUUGACAGCUCU